AAAGUCAAAGGACCUUGGAGAAAAAAUUUCAGAAUUUUUAAAGACUUAAAAGUAUUUUUAAACAAUUAAAAAUAAACACAAAAUCAAUUAAAUCAUGAAAAAUAUUAAUAAGGAUCCAAAAACUAAUUUUAUUUCAAAAUAUGAAAGAGGAAAUUAUUUGAAAAUAUUUGGUGAAACUCUCAUAUUUUUUGGAUCAAUAUUAAAAUU
RNAcentral lists this long non-coding RNA (207 nucleotides) under Lathyrus oleraceus (garden pea). RNAcentral describes it as "Pisum sativum (pea) long non-coding RNA (PSAT_LNC006085)". Lineage: Eukaryota; Viridiplantae; Streptophyta; Magnoliopsida; Fabales; Fabaceae. The record is from RNAcentral.